Molecule: ribosomal RNA, 285 nt
Filed under: Triticum aestivum (bread wheat)
Lineage: Eukaryota; Viridiplantae; Streptophyta; Magnoliopsida; Poales; Poaceae
Description: partial small subunit ribosomal RNA
Source: RNAcentral
AUGACGAUCUUGAGCUGGAACUGUCGAGGCCUCUGGCAACCUCGAACAGUUCAAGAACUAGUGUGACUCGUGCACACGUACAAGCCCAAGCUUGUCUUCCUAACUGAAACUCGGCAGAAUAACAAGUACGUCUCAAAACUAAAGUGGAGGUUGGGCCUCCGUCACUGUAUCACGCAACCAGGCACUAGAAAAGGUGUCGGCCUUUCCCUCUUUUAUGAUGAGAGUGUGGAAAUAAAAAAAGAUUGUCGUGGGGACGAGGUAUAUCGAUGUGUUGGUCCGUCUUAA